UAAACGUCUUUAUGCAAAAUGUCCCACCCCCAGACUCAGAUAUCACCUCAUUAUUAUGGGAUUGUUGAACACACCACAAACCAAACUGUUGCAUUGCCGGACUGCUUCAAUUGUUGGAUGUUGUUCACUUCGAUCGGUUCAAUUACUGUGCAAUUAAAUAUUAAACUGUGUCCAGGUAAGCUCCCAACUCAACAUGUUGAACACAAUCCGGUUAUCAUUGUUAUGCAUUGCAAAUUCGAUUCCGCUGUGUCCCUAGGAGCAUUACGCUAAUCGAUCCAACUGUAAUCAUGUAACGCUGAGUUUAUAUCCAUGCCUGAACUUUGACAACAGAUAUUCCUACCUCUUUGUGAUGUCAAACGUUACCUGUUUCCAGCUUGCUAGCCGGAUGUUGUGUACUACGCUGUGAAACUAUUAAAUUUUAAUGAUGUGUUACCGGUUACACGCUAACUAUACUCCGUUCGGAUGGUAUCACAACAGAGAAGAGCCGGCUGCUCCCUCUGAUAGUGUAGCUUAGUUACCUGUAGAGCAUUUCCAGCUCUAAACGUUAAUCGCGUAGACGCUACCUUUCUCGAAUUCUUACUUGAAUGGCAAUUUGUGAACUCAUUCAAUGGUUUAUUAUAACUUCCAAACGGUUUCUUAUGAUCCACCCUAUUUCAACCUAGAAUUUGUUGAACUGAAGACGGUGUAAAUAAAUAAAAUAAAAAAAAAACAAUCUAAAUCGGUCAAUUUAAGGCAACAGAAAACUUCUUUUGACAAAGUUGCAAGAAAUUAAAAGGUUUCCAAUUUUUCGGAAGCACGUAUACCAUAAUUUUUACAAAUAAGAUAGAUCGUUGUACCGUUUCUGUUAAAUUGGGAUCACUCUAGUUUUGAAUAACAUCAAACAAAGGGCCUAUCUAAAACGAACAAAUUUGUAGAAGACAAGCACUAAGCACAGUCCGAAAAGGCAAAUUUUAUUUGCGCAUUGAGCUGGAAAUGCUCUAUAUCGUUCACUAACGCUGAAAUGCUGACUGUGCCGUGUGAAGUAGAGUUGCCAAUGUGCUAAGCUACGCUAAGCAGCUCCAUUGCCUAGAAAUGACAAUACCGUGACGAUAUACAUACGUGCAAUGGAAGAAAGGAGAGGUUUGGUCCAGGUUUUAAAGUCCUCGGUGGACCCUCGACUGGUAAUAAUGGUAAGCGCUUUUACCUGUUGAAUAUUUAAGCCCGGAUGAAUGGCAAUCAUAUCCCCAUAAUGGCAUGUGAUGAUGGCAUUAGGACGUGUGCACGUACACACAUGCUUAACUGGAGAAACAGAUUGCUAAGGAAUGGAAAAUAUAAUACAUUUGAAAUAUAUGCAUGAUGAAUGCCGUCCAUAGGUUUAUGAGACAUCAGGUAUCAGAUUACAGUGCUGUUUAGAAGCAGGAGUAACCGGAACAGCUUUCCAGAAAAAAUAACAGUAUGUGCCUCACUGGUGACGGAUGGAAGUCCGCAUCAAGCUCUUUGAUCAAAAUCUAAGUGGAAAUAUAGCAUGAUAAUUAUUUGUCCUCAUA
Molecule: long non-coding RNA, 1526 nt
Organism: Aedes aegypti (yellow fever mosquito)
Lineage: Eukaryota; Metazoa; Arthropoda; Insecta; Diptera; Culicidae
Exons: 2
Source: RefSeq, a predicted model, not a curated record